This is an RNA transcript of Musa acuminata AAA Group (dessert banana), 2294 nucleotides long. It is a transcript of the gene named probable beta-1,4-xylosyltransferase IRX14, with no coding region annotated. The record is from RefSeq and is a predicted model, not a curated record. The transcript is spliced from 6 exons. NCBI's taxonomy places the organism in Eukaryota, Viridiplantae, Streptophyta, Magnoliopsida, Zingiberales, Musaceae.
GUAGCUUCCAAUUCCUUGCCCGAGCCACCACCGCUUUCCUUUCUUCCAUCCUUCCUUCCGCCCCUCCUGUCCCUCUCCGCCUUGCUCUCCGACAAAACCCUAUCCCUUUGAUCGCGAUUCAUGAUUGGCGAUCUGACGGCGGAGUAGAUCGGAGGGAGGCAGAGCGUGGAGGUCGGGCAAUGAAGCAAACGGCGCCGCAGCAGCCGAACCGCCAGGCAUACACCGCCUUCCGCUCCUCCCCCGGCGUUCUCUUCUGGUCCGCCGUCCAUGUCCUCUGUUGCCUCCUCUCCGCCGCCGCUGGGUUCCGCUUCUCUCGCCUCCUCUUCCUCCUCCUCUUCUCCCCUUCCCCUCCCUCCUCCUCGUCCCUCCACCAUCGUCACCUCCUCCGCCAACCCCCGCCCGCCGUCCUUCCGUCCCCGUCCCCGCCGCCGCCCCACAUCCAUCUCCCUCCUCCUCCUCCCGCCGCCGCCUCGAACCGCGUCGUGGUCGGCCGCCACGGCAUCCGGGUGCGGCCCUGGCCCCACCCGAACGCCGCUGACGUUGCACGGGCCCACGAGAUCCUCGCCCGAGUGCAGCAGGAGCAGCGCCGCCGCUACGGCGUCAAGGACCCCCGCCCCGUCCUCGUCGUCACCCCGACCUACGCCCGCACCUUCCAGGCCCUCCACCUCACCGGCCUCCUGCACUCGCUCAUGCUCGUCCCGCACCCACUCACCUGGCUCGUCGUCGAGGCCGGCGGCGUCUCCAACGAGACCGCCGCGCUCCUAGCCCGCUCCCGCCUCCCCGUCGUCCACCUCCCCUUCCACGAGCAGAUGCCCAUCCGCUGGCACGACCGACACCGCCUCGAGGCUCGGAUGCGCCUCCACGCCCUCAGAGUCAUUAGGGAGAAGCAAUUGGACGGUAUCAUCGUGUUCGCAGACGAAAGCAACGUCCACAGACUGGAGCUCUUCGACGAGGUUCAGAAGGUGGAGUGGAUGGGCGCGCUGUCGGUGGGAAUUCUAACACAUUCGCAGAGAGAAGGUGAGAAGGGGCAGUCACCAUUGCCUAUCCAAGGACCAGCGUGCAACGCCUCUGGCCACUUGAUCGGCUGGCACACCUUCAAUAACCUUCCUUAUGCUAAGAAAGCCGCCGCCUUUGUGGGUGAUGGGGCGACGGUGUUGCCGAUGAAGCUCGAGUGGGCCGGGUUUGUGAUGAACUCGAGACUGCUGUGGAGGGAGGCUGAGGAGAAGCCGGGUUGGGUUCGGGAUCUUGACGAGGUGGGAAUCAACGGGGAGGAGAUCGAGAGCCCGCUGGAUUUGCUGAAGGAUGCAUCGUCGGUGGAGCCACUCGGAAACUGCGGCAAGAAGGUUCUGCUGUGGUGGCUUCGGGCCGAAGCGCGCUUUGACAGCAGGUUUCCCGCUCGGUGGGUGAUAGAUCCUCCUCUGGAAAUCAUUGUCCCUGCAAAGCGGACUCCAUGGCCUGAGGCACCUCCUGACCUCCCAUUUCAAGUGAUAGCAGAUGAUGAAGAUCAUGUCGAAGUACAUCCUUCAAAGAAAACCAGAUCUUCCAGGUCUAAACGCAUCUCUCGCAAGAAAAAGAAGCGUGAAACACAUGUUGAUGCACAAGUUUCCGACUUGUUCAACAGGCAAGAGAAGUAAAGAUGGUAUCUAGAUUCAUCGAGCAGAGAGAGACUGUAAUUAUCAUGGAAGUAGCUUCACCAAACAAAGCUGCAAACUGGCGUUCAGCAUUCAAGAUCUCAGUGUACCAGCGGCAGCAACAAAUUUGAUUUGUGGACCUCUACAUUUCUUCAUUUCGAUAGAUAAAUUGGAUUCUUUUGCUAGAAAGAGUAUACAAAGUUUGACUUUUGGUGGGUUGAAGGGCCAUGAGACUAACAAUUGCUGAAAGUGGUGGCUCAAGAAGCUGAUGUUCUUGGUGAAGGCUAACAAUAAAGAACUUUGUUAGUGUUCGAUUUAGCCCAAUUCAUGUCGGUUUCUGACUAGGGGAGUAUUCAAAAGAUCAGUUUCUCAGGAAAAGAUUUAAAUCCGUGGUUUUCUUAAAGAAUGUAUGGUGAGCUUAAGAACAAGAACAGAGUGGGAGAAGAGAGGGGCGGAGCGGAGCGGACCUGCUUACGGGAGGAGAUGAUGAUGACGACAGCGCCUUGGAGGCCUAAUCGAUGGGAGACGCCGAAGUCGAUGCCGUGGCGGAGGCCGUCACGAUCGCCACCGUGCUCUCUAAUCUCCGCUUCCCUCCCAUCUCGCUCCAGGAGUUCUGUUACUGAAGUAGACACUAUAUAUGUAUGCGUCCAAAUUUUUUCCCAA